Molecule: transfer RNA, 84 nt
Organism: Trametes pubescens
Lineage: Eukaryota; Fungi; Basidiomycota; Agaricomycetes; Polyporales; Polyporaceae
Rfam family: tRNA
About the family: Transfer RNA (tRNA) molecules are approximately 80 nucleotides in length. Their secondary structure includes four short double-helical elements and three loops (D, anti-codon, and T loops). Further hydrogen bonds mediate the characteristic L-shaped molecular structure. tRNAs have two regions of fundamental functional importance: the anti-codon, which is responsible for specific mRNA codon recognition, and the 3' end, to which the tRNAs corresponding amino acid is attached (by aminoacyl-tRNA synthetases). tRNAs cope with the degeneracy of the genetic code in two manners: having more than one tRNA (with a specific anti-codon) for a particular amino acid; and 'wobble' base-pairing, i.e. permitting non-standard base-pairing at the 3rd anti-codon position.
Source: Rfam
GGCCGGCUGGCCUAAUGGUUAAGGCGUCAGUUUCCGAGUUAAUCAGUCAGCUGGAGAUUCCGGGUUCGACUCCCGGGUUGGUCG